GGCCGUAGCUUAGUGGGUAGAGCAUCUGCUUUGCAUGCAGAAGGUCCCAGGUUCAAUCGCCAACAUCUCCAGGUAGGGCUG
Podarcis lilfordi (Lilford's wall lizard) is the source of this 81-nucleotide non-coding RNA. The record is from the annotation of a GenBank genome assembly. Lineage: Eukaryota; Metazoa; Chordata; Lepidosauria; Squamata; Lacertidae.